RNAcentral lists this transfer RNA (55 nucleotides) under Epitrimerus sabinae. RNAcentral's name for it is "tRNA-Ile". The record is from RNAcentral. Lineage: Eukaryota; Metazoa; Arthropoda; Arachnida; Trombidiformes; Eriophyidae.
UUAGUAAAAUAUGGAGAAUCUUGAUAAGAUACUCUAGCCUAGGCGUUUACUAAAC